GCUGACGCGGAGGGACAUUACCGAGUUUACAACACCCAAACCCAAUGUGAACGUUACCAAACUGUUGCCUCGGCGGGGUCACGCCCCGGGUGCGUCGCAGCCCCGGAACCAGGCGCCCGCCGGAGGAACCAACCAAACUCUUUCUGUAGUCCCCUCGCGGACGUAUUUCUUACAGCUCUGAGCAAAAAUUCAAAAUGAAUCAAAACUUUCAACAACGGAUCUCUUGGUUCUGGCAUCGAUGAAGAACGCAGCGAAAUGCGAUAAGUAAUGUGAAUUGCAGAAUUCAGUGAAUCAUCGAAUCUUUGAACGCACAUUGCGCCCGCCAGUAUUCUGGCGGGCAUGCCUGUCCGAGCGUCAUUUCAACCCUCGAACCCCUCCGGGGGAUCGGCGUUGGGGAUCGGGACCCCUCACACGGGUGCCGGCCCCGAAAUACAGUGGCGGUCUCGCCGCAGCCUCUCCUGCGCAGUAGUUUGCACAACUCGCACCGGGAGCGCGGCGCGUCCACGUCCGUAAAACACCCAACUUUCUGAAAUGUUGACCUCGGAUCAGGUAGGAAUACCCGCUGAACUUAAGCAUAUCAAUAAAGCGGAGGAAAAAU
RNAcentral lists this ribosomal RNA (598 nucleotides) under Trichoderma asperellum. RNAcentral describes it as "eukaryotic LSU rRNA". The stretch from base 204 to 357 matches the Rfam family "5.8S ribosomal RNA". Lineage: Eukaryota; Fungi; Ascomycota; Sordariomycetes; Hypocreales; Hypocreaceae. The record is from RNAcentral.